UCCCCGAUAGCUCAAUUGGUAGAGCGAGCGGCUGUUAACCGCUAGGUCGUAGGUUCGAGCCCUACUCGGGGAG
This 73-nucleotide transfer RNA is filed under the name Phycisphaerae bacterium. Its description in RNAcentral is "tRNA-Asn". It matches the Rfam family "tRNA". From Rfam's summary of the family: Transfer RNA (tRNA) molecules are approximately 80 nucleotides in length. Their secondary structure includes four short double-helical elements and three loops (D, anti-codon, and T loops). Further hydrogen bonds mediate the characteristic L-shaped molecular structure. tRNAs have two regions of fundamental functional importance: the anti-codon, which is responsible for specific mRNA codon recognition, and the 3' end, to which the tRNAs corresponding amino acid is attached (by aminoacyl-tRNA synthetases). tRNAs cope with the degeneracy of the genetic code in two manners: having more than one tRNA (with a specific anti-codon) for a particular amino acid; and 'wobble' base-pairing, i.e. permitting non-standard base-pairing at the 3rd anti-codon position. Lineage: Bacteria; Pseudomonadati; Planctomycetota; Phycisphaerae. RNAcentral also lists the same sequence under 6 other names. The record is from RNAcentral.